Molecule: unclassified non-coding RNA, 337 nt
Filed under: soil metagenome
Description: partial contains 5.8S ribosomal RNA, internal transcribed spacer 2, and large subunit ribosomal RNA
Rfam family: 5.8S ribosomal RNA (bases 1-120)
Source: RNAcentral
GAUGAAGAACGCAGCGAAAUGCGAUAAGUAAUGUGAAUUGCAGAAUUCAGUGAAUCAUCGAAUCUUUGAACGCACAUUGCGCCCGCCAGUAUUCUGGCGGGCAUGCCUGUUCGAGCGUCAUUUCAACCAUCAAGCUCUGCUUGGUAUUGGGCACCGUCCUUUGCGGGCGCGCCUCAAAGACCUCGGCGGUGGCGUCUUGCCUCAAGCGUAGUAGAAUACACCUCGCUUCGGAGCGUAAGGCGUCGCCCGCCGGACGAACCUUCUGAACUUUUCUCAAGGUUGACCUCGGAUCAGGUAGGGAUACCCGCUGAACUUAAGCAUAUCAAUAAGCGGAGGA